Molecule: ribosomal RNA, 253 nt
Filed under: uncultured bacterium
Lineage: Bacteria
Description: partial 16S ribosomal RNA
Rfam family: Bacterial small subunit ribosomal RNA
Source: RNAcentral
UACAGAGGGGGCAAGCGUUGUUCGGAAUUACUGGGCGUAAAGGGCGCGUAGGCGGCCUUCUAAGUCGAACGUGAAAUCCCUGGGCUCAACCCAGGAACUGCGUCCGAUACUGGAAGGCUUGAAUCCGGGAGAGGGAUGCGGAAUUCCAGGUGUAGCGGUGAAAUGCGCAGAUAUCAGGAGGAACACCCGUGGCGAAAGCGUCUCUCUGGGACGGUACUGACGCUGAGACGCGAAAGCGUGGGGAGCAAACAGG